Molecule: ribosomal RNA, 1377 nt
Filed under: uncultured bacterium
Lineage: Bacteria
Description: 16S ribosomal RNA
Rfam family: Bacterial small subunit ribosomal RNA
Source: RNAcentral
AGUUUGAUUCUGGCUCAGGAUGAACGCUGGCGGCGUGCUUAACACAUGCAAGUCGAACGGGAAUUACUUUAUUGAAACUUCGGUCGAUUUAAUUUAAUUCUAGUGGCGGACGGGUGGGUAACGCAUGGGUAACCUGCCUUAUACAGGGGGAUAACAGUCAGAAAUGGUUGCUAAUACCGCAUAAGCGCACAGAGCUGCAUGGCUCAAUGUGAAAAACUCUGGUGGUAUAACAUGGACCCGCGUUGGAUUAGCUAGUUGGUGGGGUAACGGCCCACCAAGGAGACGAUCCAUAGCCGGCCUGAGAGGGUGAACGGCCACAUUGGGACUGAGACACGGCCCAGACUCCUACGGGAGGCAGCUGUGGGGAAUAUUGCACACCGGGCGGAAACCGUGAUGCAGCGACGCCGCUAGAAGGAAGAAGUAUCUCGGUAUGUAAAUUUCUAUCAGCAGGGAAGAUAGUGACGGUACUUGACUAAGAAGCCCCUGCUAAAUACGUGCCAGCAGCCCGCGGUAAUAUGUAGGGGGCAAGCGUUAUUUGGAUUUACUGGGUGUAAAGGGAGCGUAGACGGUGUGGCAAGUCUGAUGUGAAAGAGCAUGGGCUCAACCCCUGGACUGCAUUGGAAACUGUCAUACUUGAGUGCCGGAGGGGUAAGCGGAAUUCCUAGUGUAGCGGUGAAAUGCGUAGAUAUUAGGAGGAACACCAGUGGCGAAGGCGGCUUACUGGCCGGUAAUUGACGUUGAGGCUGGAAAGACGUGGGGAGCAAACAGGAUUAGAUACCCUGGUAGUCCUCCCCGUAAACGACGAAUACUAGGUGUGGGGGAGCAUGGCUCUUCGGUGCCGUCGCAAACGCAGUAAGUAUUCCACAUGGGGAGACGUUCGCAAGAAGAAACUCAAAGGAAUUGACGGGGAGCCGCACAAGCGGUGGAGCAUGUGGUGUAAUUCGAAGCAACGCGAAGAACCUCACCAAAUCUUGACAUCCCUCUGACCGGUCUUUAAUCGGACGUUCUCUUCUGAGCAGAGGAGACAGGUGGUGCAUGGUUGUCGUCAGCUCGUGUCGUGAGAUGUAGGGUUAAGUCCCGCAACGAGCGCAACCCCUAUCCUCAGUAGCCAGCAUCUAAGGUGGGCACUCUGGGGAGACUGCCAGGGAUAACCCGGAGGAAGGCGGGGAUGACGUCAAAUCAUCCUGCCCCCUAUGAUUUGGGCUACACACGUGCUACAAUGGCGUAAACAAAGGGAAGCGAGAUUGUGAGAUGGAGCAAAUCCCAAAAAUAACGUCCCAGUUCGGACUGUAGUCUGCAACCCGACUACACGAAGCUGGAAUCGUUAGUAAUCGCGGAUCAGAAUGCCGCGGUGAAUAAGAUCCCGGGUCUUGCACA